UACGUAGGGUGCAAGCGUUGUCCGGAAUUAUUGGGCGUAAAGAGCUCGUAGGCGGUCUGUCGCGUCGGAUGUGAAAAUCCAGGGCUCAACCCUGGACCUGCAUUCGAUACGGGCAGACUAGAGUUCGGCAGGGGAGACUGGAAUUCCUGGUGUAGCAGUGAAAUGCGUAGAUAUCAGGAGGAAUACCGAUGGCGAAGGCAGGUCUCUGGGCUGACACUGACGCUCAUGCACGAAAGCGUGGGGAGCAAACAGG
RNAcentral lists this ribosomal RNA (253 nucleotides) under uncultured bacterium. Its description in RNAcentral is "partial 16S ribosomal RNA". It matches the Rfam family "Bacterial small subunit ribosomal RNA", at positions 524 to 776 of the family's 1533-position model. The record is from RNAcentral.